Molecule: ribosomal RNA, 510 nt
Filed under: uncultured bacterium
Lineage: Bacteria
Description: partial 16S ribosomal RNA
Rfam family: Bacterial small subunit ribosomal RNA
Source: RNAcentral
GACGAACGCUGGCGGCGUGCUUAACACAUGCAAGUCGAACGAAGAGCGACGGAAGCUUGCUUCUAUCAAUCUUAGUGGCGAACGGGUGAGUAACGCGUAAUCAACCUGCCCUUCAGAGGGGGACAACAGCUGGAAACGACUGCUAAUACCGCAUACGAUCUAACCUCGGCAUCGAGGAUAGAUGAAAGGUGGCCUCUACAUGUAAGCUAUCACUGAAGGAGGGGAUUGCGUCUGAUUAGCUAGUUGGAGGGGUAACGGCCCACCAAGGCGAUGAUCAGUAGACGGUCUGAGAGGAUGAACGGCCACAUUGGGACUGAGACACGGCCCAGACUCCUACGGGAGGCAGCAGUGGGGAAUCUUCCGCAAUGGACGAAAGUCUGACGGAGCAACGCCGCGUGAGUGAUGACGGCCUUCGGGUUGUAAAGCUCUGUUAAUCGGGACGAAAGGCCUUCUUGCGAAUAGUGAGAAGGAUUGACGGUACCGGAAUAGAAAGCCACGGCUAACUACGUG